CCCUUAGAUGUUCUGGGCGGCCCGCGCACUACAUUGGCACUGUCAGCAAGGGUCUGAAACUAAAACUUUUGGGUAUUCUGAGAACCGGUGUCGUGACUGGGAUUGACCCUUGCAAUUAUUGGUUAUGAACGAGGAAUUCCUUGUAAUCGCGGUUUAUCAGCCCGCGUUGAAUGCGUCCCUGCCCUUUGUACACACCGCCCGUCGCUCCUACCGAUGAAUCGUCCGGUGAAGUUCAUGGAGUAGUGGUUGUUCCAUCCGCUGUCGAAGUGAAAUAAACCUCNUNAUUUAUNGGAAGGAGAANUCGUANCA
RNAcentral lists this ribosomal RNA (309 nucleotides) under uncultured eukaryote. RNAcentral describes it as "partial 18S ribosomal RNA". It matches the Rfam family "Eukaryotic small subunit ribosomal RNA", at positions 1470 to 1796 of the family's 1831-position model. The record is from RNAcentral.